AUUUAUUUCGGUAAAUUCUUAGUGGCGAACGGGUGAGUAACGCGUAGGCAACCUGCCCUUUGGAUGGGGACAACAUUCCGAAAGGAGUGCUAAUACCGAAUGUGAUCCAUUUCUCGCAUGAGAGAUGGAUGAAAGAUGGCCUCUAUUUAUAAGCUAUCGCCAAAGGAUGGGCCUGCGUCUGAUUAGUUAGUUGGUGGGGUAACGGCUCACCAAGACGAUGAUCAGUAGCCGGUCUGAGAGGAUGAACGGCCACAUUGGGACUGAGACACGGCCCAAACUCCUACGGGAGGCAGCAGUGGGGAAUCUUCCGCAAUGGACGAAAGUCUGACGGAGCAACGCCGCGUGAGUGAUGAAGGUUUUCGGACUGUAAAACUCUGUUGUCAGGGACGAAGGUGCGAUCUGCGAAUAGUUGAUCGUAUUGACGGUACCUGACGAGGAAGCCACGGCUAACUACGUGCCAGCAGCCGCGGUAAUACGUAGGUGGCAAGCGUUGUCCGGAAUUAUUGGGCGUAAAGAGCAUGUAGGUGGGCUUUUAAGUCCGAUGUGAAAAUGCGGGGCUCAACCCCGUAUGGCAUUGGAUACUGGAAGUCUUGAGUGCAG
RNAcentral lists this ribosomal RNA (600 nucleotides) under uncultured Acidaminococcus sp. RNAcentral describes it as "bacterial SSU rRNA". It matches the Rfam family "Bacterial small subunit ribosomal RNA", at positions 73 to 651 of the family's 1533-position model. The record is from RNAcentral. Lineage: Bacteria; Bacillati; Bacillota; Negativicutes; Acidaminococcales; Acidaminococcaceae.